AACCACAUACCCACCAUACGACUGGAAUCACACAUACACCGCCACAAGAGGUCUGCAGUGAAGGUCCCAGAGUCCCAGACAAUAAGACUGAAAGCAACACCAGCCAGUCUUGGGAAAUAUAAAAUUGCAAAUAAAUUUUGAUAAUUUUUCAUUUUGUAAAGGAUCUUUCUGCUGAUGCAGCUGUUAAGAGUGUUUCAUAAACUGUGACACUGAGCAAAAUCAUAGAAGGAAACUCUAUGGACAAUUUCAGAUGGAGAAGAAGAAAGGAUUGGAAGUUCAAUUUGGCCAUGACAAUUAGAGGCCAGGUGCAGUGCAUGUAAUCCCAGCACUUUGGGAGACUGAGAUGGGAAGAUCGCUUGAGGCCAGGAGUGCAAGACCAGCCUGGGCAACAUAGCAAGAACUUGACUCUACUAAAAAAAAAAAGGAUCCUUCAACUUCAACAAUAACAACACGAGGGAAGUGAAGAAAAACACUUUCUAAGGAAAUCUCUCUCUGAGCUACCAUCCGGCUAGGGAGAGCCUGAAAGCAGAAUGCUGACUUGACUAGCUCUGGCCAAUAAAGGAAAUCACCAGUGGAAAGGCUACCAGGGGGCUUCCUCAAAAGAGAGGGACGGUAAACUGCAAGACGAACAACUCGAUGCCAUCCAGGUCUGGAUGAGAAAGAAGAGUCG
This 670-nucleotide non-coding RNA is filed under the name Pongo abelii (Sumatran orangutan). Lineage: Eukaryota; Metazoa; Chordata; Mammalia; Primates; Hominidae. The record is from RNAcentral.